RNAcentral lists this microRNA (23 nucleotides) under Caenorhabditis elegans. RNAcentral describes it as "cel-miR-2211-3p". The record is from miRBase by way of RNAcentral. Lineage: Eukaryota; Metazoa; Nematoda; Chromadorea; Rhabditida; Rhabditidae.
UCAGGUAGAAUUUAGAGGAGAAA